This 221-nucleotide unclassified non-coding RNA is filed under the name uncultured Ceratobasidiaceae. Its description in RNAcentral is "sequence contains ITS2". The record is from RNAcentral. Lineage: Eukaryota; Fungi; Basidiomycota; Agaricomycetes; Cantharellales; Ceratobasidiaceae.
AAUUCUCAAAAUAAAUCUUUUGUUAAUUCAAUUGGUUUCAUUUUGGACUUGGGGGUCUGCAGAUUAACCUCUGCUCCUCUUAAAUAUAUUAGCUGGAUCUUGGAGAGGUCGGUUCCACUCGGCGUGAUAAGUAUCACUCGCUGAGGACACUGUAAAAGGUGGCCGGGCUCACUGCAGAACCGCUUCUAAUGGUCCAUUGGAUUGGACAAAUAAAAUUUAUG